This is a small nuclear RNA of Panthera pardus (leopard), 105 nucleotides long. NCBI's taxonomy places the organism in Eukaryota, Metazoa, Chordata, Mammalia, Carnivora, Felidae. The record is from Ensembl.
AGGCUUACUUCAGCAGCAUAUAUACGAAAACGGGAGUGAUACAGAGAUUAGCAUGGUCCCUACAUACAGACAACAUACAAAUUCAGAGAAGCGUUCCCUUAAAAA